CAAAAAUGGAUAGGACUGGGAAGAAGCCUUCUUUUUAAUACAGAUUCGUUAAUUCUUCUACAGAAAAGAUAGGUUCAUAAAUUCUGUUUCCAUGGUAGGAUUGAUCAGUAGGUUCUUCCAUCCAUUUCUUCUAAGAGUUCAGAUCUCAGCAGAACAGGUCAUGCAACAGCUACUAGAACAGGCAAACUGUUGAGGUUUUUUUCUUUUUCCUUGCAAAAAAAUUUGUUGACUUUUGACAUUUUCUUAGUUGUUAUGGUAUCAAUUCAAAAUAGGAGUUUUAAAAACACAGUUGAUUCCUGUAACAAAACUGUGGAGGUCCUUGUCUUUGAACAUUAGACUUAAGAUGACAUUUGGGGUUCUGGGGUUCUGACUGUGGAACAAUUUUUUUGAAGUUAAGUCCUCAAAAACCUUUUGUUCUUGCUUAUGGCAGUAAGGUAUCUUACAAGACUCGGAAGCCACUGCGUGUGGAUACCUUGUUGUGUUUCUUCCCUAAACUAAUGGGAUCCGAAGCCAGUGUAUUUCCAUACUAUGAACAGGAGUCAUGGUACCAGGGUAGCAAUUCUAGUACCAAAGAAUUGGGAACUGAACCUGAUAACGGGGUGAAGGAGAAGGGGAAAAAUGUGGGUCCUACUGUGUCAUCUGGGUUCUUUGCAGUAUUACUGAAUGAAUUAAUCUCCUUGUCAAAUAGAACAUACCUUGUACUACUCAUUGCUACAGAAUUUUCAAUUAAUAAAAGACUACUAUUGGAAAUAGUGGGAAGACCUUCAGGAGGAUUUGCUGAAGUUGCCCAAUUAUUGCUUCGGCUAACUAAUGAGUUGGUAAGACAUUUUCAGAGGAAUUUCCUUUGAACACAAAGUUGUUUUCCAGUUUUCAUCUAGGCUUCUAAUUUUGGAAUGGUCCAUUGCUUAUUAUAAUCAGGCAAUUGGACAUUUGACUUACAUACUCAAGGCUUGCAAUGAUGAACUUCCCAGGAACUGUGCCUUUCUUUCGGAGUUGCAGCAUGCUAAGAGAACGACUGGCACUUAUUUAAUCCAUGUUCAUAUUGCUCGAAGAAGAAAUGGGCCAAGCUAAUAUCUUCAUUAAAAACAGUGAAAUGCAAAAAAAAUUAACAGACAGUGGAAUAAAGUAGAUCAAACUAGAUUAAAAAAUAAAUUC
This 1155-nucleotide long non-coding RNA is filed under the name Apteryx owenii (little spotted kiwi). Its description in RNAcentral is "lncRNA (ENSAOWG00000007813.1)". The record is from RNAcentral. Lineage: Eukaryota; Metazoa; Chordata; Aves; Apterygiformes; Apterygidae.